GGAGGGGGCAAGCGUUAUUCGGAAUUACUGGGCGUAAAGAGCGUGUAGGCGGUUAUAUUAGUUAGGCGUGAAAUCCUAUGGGCUUAACCAUAGGCCUGCGUCUAAUACUGUAUGGCUAGAGUACUGGAGAGGGAAGUGGAAUUCCUAGUGUAGCGGUGAAAUGCGUAGAUAUUAGGAGGAACACCGGUGGCGAAGGCGGCUUCCUGACAGAUACUGACGCUGAGACGCGAAAGCCAGGGGAGCAAACGGGAUUAGAUACCCCGGUAGUCCUGGCUGUAAACGAUGGGCACUAGGUGUAGGAGGUAUCAAUCCCUUCUGUGCCGGAGCUAACGCAGUAAGUGCCCCGCCUGGGGAGUACGGUCGCAAAGGCUG
This 372-nucleotide ribosomal RNA is filed under the name uncultured organism. RNAcentral describes it as "partial 16S ribosomal RNA". It matches the Rfam family "Bacterial small subunit ribosomal RNA", at positions 527 to 896 of the family's 1533-position model. The record is from RNAcentral.